Molecule: ribosomal RNA, 466 nt
Filed under: uncultured bacterium
Lineage: Bacteria
Description: partial 16S ribosomal RNA
Rfam family: Bacterial small subunit ribosomal RNA
Source: RNAcentral
GACGAACGCUGGCGGCGUGCUUAACACAUGCAAGUCGAACGGAAAGGCCCUGCUUGCCGGGUACUCGAGUGGCGAACGGGUGAGUAACACGUGGGUGAUCUGCCCUGCACUUCGGGAUAAGCUUGGGAAACUGGGUCUAAUACCUGAUAGGAGCCAUCUUUAGUGUGGUGGUUGGAAAGUUUUUUCGGUGUAGGAUGAGCUCGCGGCCUAUCAGCUUGUUGGUGGGGUAAUGGCCUACCAAGGCGGCGACGGGUAGCCGGCCUGAGAGGGUGUACGGCCACAUUGGGACUGAGAUACGGCCCAGACUCCUACGGGGGGCAGCAGUGGGGAAUAUUGCACAAUGGGCGCAAGCCUGAUGCAGCGACGCCGCGUGGGGGAUGAAGGCCUUCGGGUUGUAAACUCCUUUCGCUAGGGACGAAGCUUUGUUGUGACGGUACCUAGAUAAGAAGCACCGGCUAACUACGUG